Long non-coding RNA from Nymphaea colorata (pocket water lily), 1567 nucleotides. RefSeq lists it as uncharacterized. The transcript is spliced from 4 exons. NCBI's taxonomy places the organism in Eukaryota, Viridiplantae, Streptophyta, Magnoliopsida, Nymphaeales, Nymphaeaceae. The record is from RefSeq and is a predicted model, not a curated record.
GAGCUUAUUUUAUUGAGCUCGACUCGAGCUCGAGAUGAACAUUUACUCUUCAUCAAUAUUAUCAUACUGGCGGAAUCCGGAAAGAGAAAGACAGAGGGAGGGAUUUUAUCGUUCGUGGAGUAGUUUCACUUGCACCCUCCUCUUUUUCUUCUUCGAUGCCAAUCCUUAGCAACAACAGUAUGCGCACCCCUUUCCUUGGCAAGAUGAGGAAGCAGGCCUCUUUCUUCCUCAGAGAGAAGCUCAGAAGCUCUCAGUUGGCCUUGACCAGCGUAACCCCUGAAGAGUGAUUUUUCCUCUUUAUUUUAAUUUUGGGGUUUCAAAAGAAGGACAGAAGAAGCGGCAAAUAGUAAUCCAUGGGUAACCGAUGUGGGGACGAUGAGUUUCAUAUCAAAAGCAGCCUUUGGACUUGGUGACUACUGCAGAAUUGUGGAAAUCUUGCUUAAGAGAUAGUUGUUUCCUUCUAUAAGUAUGAUUUUUUAGAUAUAUUUUUCUCGUUGUUUACUUGUUUAGUAGUAUAAGUAUGCUUACAUGAUUGGUAGAUAUGUUUCUAGUUAUUUUGUUUUUUGAUGCAUUUUUAACUCAUCCUCCUUGGAACAAAACAUUAUUGGAAGUUGGAACACAUUCUUCCAGGUUGUGGGCCUUUUCUUCCUUUUCCCUUUGAUGCCAUGUUUUCGUCGUUGACUUCAAUUGUUAGAUUUGGGUGCUUUGGCUCAAUGAUUUUUUGUUUGAGAAGCUGUAUAAUGUCGAACAAGUUCUGUAUCAUGUAAGUUUUCAAUGAAAAGGCUUUUCGAUUCUCUUAACAUUGAGACCGAAAGGUUUAACCAGCUAUUUGAUGGAGAAUAAGGAAGGCCAGAACAUCCACGGCGUUGGGUGAUACUUUCCCCAUUUUUCCGAAUUUUGUGACUUGGCUUCUCGAUGUAAGUUUCACUCGAGUAAGUCUUCAUUUUCUUUCUUGGAGUAGUUCACUGUUCAGUUGCUACUGUUUCCUCAGUCUCUAAGGAAUUAUAUUCCAUUGUUGUGUUAAAUUGUAUCAACUAGUUACUAAUGUUUUUUCAGCCUCUUUAUUGGGUCUUUUGGCUUAAUUUCUCAUAAGCAUUUCAGAUUCUAGUGUUAUUUUUAUUUGGUAUUCUGUUCUUACAUUUAAAUAAAAUUCAACACUGCAGUUAUCUUGAUGUGGAUCCAGGUUAGCAAAACUACUAAUCAGAUUCAGGUUUUAAACCAAAUUGGAGACCAUUUGCAUUCCUAUUCCACAGACUCAUUCUUGACAGCAGGUACGCAGCUCGAUACAAGCCAACUUAACUUGAUUAGCACCCACACUGCAAGAACUAUCUCAAUUGUAAAUUGGAAAAGACAGGAUCAUAACACUGAUAUAAAUGUCUACAUGUGCCCAUAAAUACAUCAUCCACAGCAAAGCGCAGGUAUGCAUCAAUCUUUUUGAAAUCAGGUGCAUCCUCAUUCCUGCAACAGCAAGGCCGAACAUCUCAGAAAAAUAAUUGUACGAAAAACUGUCAUGUUCUAUACAAAUGAGUUCAGAUUGUGACAAGAAUGAGGUAGUACGUACAGAGAU